UUCCUGGUGGCCCAGUGGUUAAGGCUCUGCUCUGCCAAAGCAGGGAGCACAGGUUCAGGCCCUGGCUGGGGAA
This 73-nucleotide transfer RNA is filed under the name Bos taurus (domestic cattle). It matches the Rfam family "tRNA". Rfam says of the family: Transfer RNA (tRNA) molecules are approximately 80 nucleotides in length. Their secondary structure includes four short double-helical elements and three loops (D, anti-codon, and T loops). Lineage: Eukaryota; Metazoa; Chordata; Mammalia; Artiodactyla; Bovidae. RNAcentral also lists the same sequence under 5 other names. The record is from Rfam by way of RNAcentral.